UCUAGUGACGAUAGCAGAGAGGUCACACCCGUUCCCAUGCCGAACACGGAAGUUAAGCUCUCUAGCGCCGAUGGUAGUUGGGGGCUGUCCCCCUGUGAGAGUAGGACGUUGCUGGGC
Molecule: ribosomal RNA, 117 nt
Filed under: Paenalkalicoccus suaedae
Lineage: Bacteria; Bacillati; Bacillota; Bacilli; Caryophanales; Bacillaceae
Source: RNAcentral